Molecule: small RNA, 816 nt
Filed under: Arabidopsis thaliana (thale cress)
Lineage: Eukaryota; Viridiplantae; Streptophyta; Magnoliopsida; Brassicales; Brassicaceae
Description: ATSL264570
Source: RNAcentral
CACUCUACCAUGUUCCAUUGGGGAAUUUGCUUUCAGCGAUUGUCUGUGCGAUCUCGGAGCCUCUGUUAGCUUGAUGCCACUCUCUGUGGCAAGAAGGUUAGAGUUCAUUCAAUAUAAACCUUGUGAGCUGACUUUGAUCCUUGCGGAUAGGUCUUCUAGAAAACCGUUCGGCAUGCUGAAAGACCUACCAGUCAUGAUUAAUGGCGUAGAAGUGCCUACAGACUUCGUGGUGCUGGAUAUGGAAGUAGAGCAUAAGGAUCCCUUAAUACUGGGAAGACCCUUUUUAGCGUCAGUGGGAGCAGUGAUAGAUGUCAGGGAAGGGAAAAUAAGUCUCAACCUUGGAAAGCAUAUCAAGUUGCAGUUUGGCAUCAACAAAACUCCACAAGGGUCAACCGAAGAUGGAAGAACCUCUAGAAAUGAUAGAGCGAUCUCAGGAGAAGGAUAUGAGACUGAAAGAGUGAAAGAACUUAGAAAGAGGUCUGAUAAGCAGGAUGAAACUAUAGAGAAGCUAGCCCACACCAUUGAGGAACUUAGGAGUAAGCUGAAUCGGAUGCAGAAGGAAGCUCAACCUAAAGGCGGGAUUAACACUGUCCCGAGAAAAGAAUUCACUUCAAGAUGGUCUCAAGAUACAGAUUAUCCUCCAGAAGAGAAGGAAGCCUAUUUUGAAGAAAGGGGGAUUGAGUAUUCUGCUGCAGACCUCUCCAGGGAGGACGCUGAAUAUCAUGAUGGUAUCAGAGAGGCUUAUGCUGACCCUCUCUACAGUUCAUUUUCUUCUUGAUAAUGUGAGGAGUCAAGCUAGAGACUUAAACAAGCUCA